CGAGAGUGAAAUCCAACGGCUCAACCGUUGAACUGCUCUCGAAACUGGUUACCUAGAAUAUGGGAGAGGUAGAUGGAAUUGGUGGUGUAGGGGUAAAAUCCGUAGAUAUCACCAGGAAUACCGAUUGCGAAGGCGAUCUACUGGAACAUUAUUGACGCUGAGGCAUGAAAGCGUGGGGAGCAAACAGGAUUAGAUACCCUGGUAGUCCACGCCCUAAACGAUGCACACUAGUUGUUGCGAUGCUAGUCAUUGCAGUAAUGCACUUAACAGAUUAAGUGUGCCGCCUGGGGAGUACGGUCGCAAGAUUAAAACUCAAAGGAAUAGACGGGGACCCGCACAAGCGGUGGAGCAUGUGGUUUAAUUCGAAGAUACACGAAGAACCUUACCUGGGCUUGAUAUCCUAAGAAUCCUGUAGAGAUAUGGGAGUGCUAGUUUACUAGAACUUAGAGACAGGUGCUGCACGGCUGUCGUCAGCUCGUGUCGUGAGAUGUUGGGUUAAGUCCCGCAACGAGCGCAACCCUCGUGAUUAGUUGCUAACAGUUCGGCUGAGCACUCUAAUCAGACUGCCUUCGCAAGGAGGAGGAAGGUGAGGACGACGUCAAGUCAUCAUGGCCCUUAUGCCCAGGGCUACACACGUGCUACAAUGGCUAGGACAAAGAGAAGCGAUACUGCGAAGUGGAGCAAAUCUUAAAACCUAGUCUCAGUUCGGAUUGGAGUCUGCAACUCGACUCCAUGAAGCUGGAAUCGCUAGUAAUCGUAGAUCA
RNAcentral lists this ribosomal RNA (764 nucleotides) under uncultured bacterium. RNAcentral's name for it is "bacterial SSU rRNA". It matches the Rfam family "Bacterial small subunit ribosomal RNA", at positions 589 to 1351 of the family's 1533-position model. The record is from RNAcentral.